UACGGAGGGUGCAAGCGUUACUCGGAAUCACUGGGCGUAAAGAGCGCGUAGGCGGGAUAGCAAGUCAGAUGUGAAAUCCUAUGGCUUAACCAUAGAACUGCAUUUGAAACUGUUAUUCUAGAGUAUGGGAGAGGUAGGUGGAAUUCUUGGUGUAGGGGUAAAAUCCGUAGAGAUCAAGAGGAAUACUCAUUGCGAAGGCGGGUUCCUGGACAUUAACUGACGCUGAGGCACGAAGGCCAGGGGAGCGAAAGGG
Molecule: ribosomal RNA, 253 nt
Filed under: uncultured Helicobacteraceae bacterium
Lineage: Bacteria; Pseudomonadati; Campylobacterota; Epsilonproteobacteria; Campylobacterales; Helicobacteraceae
Description: partial 16S ribosomal RNA
Rfam family: Bacterial small subunit ribosomal RNA
Source: RNAcentral